Molecule: unclassified non-coding RNA, 400 nt
Filed under: soil metagenome
Description: partial contains 5.8S ribosomal RNA, internal transcribed spacer 2, and large subunit ribosomal RNA
Rfam family: 5.8S ribosomal RNA (bases 1-122)
Source: RNAcentral
GAUGAAGAACGUAGCGAAAUGCGAUACUUGGUGUGAAUUGCAGAAUCCCGUGAACCAUCGAGUCUUUGAACGCAAGUUGCGCCUCAAGCCAUUAGGUUGAGGGCACGUCUGCCUGGGCGUCACAUAUCGUUGCCUGAUGCCAGUUUCCUCGUGAUGGGUGACUGUGCAGGGCGAAUGAUGGCUUCCCGUGAGCAUUGUUGCCUCAUGGUUGGUUUAAAAUUGAGUCCUUGGUAGGGAGCGCCGUGAUAGAUGGUGGUUGAGUGACGAACGAGACCCAAUCAUGUGAGACCCCUACCGAAUUUGGCCUUCAUGACCCACAUGCGUCUUUGGAACGCUCAUGACGAGACCUCAGGUCAGGCGGGGCUACCCGCUGAGUUUAAGCAUAUCAAUAAGCGGAGGA